GGUAUAGACCCGAAACCCGGUGAUCUAGCCAUGGGCAGGUUGAAGGUUGGGUAACACUAACUGGAGGACCGAACCGACUAAUGUUGAAAAAUUAGCGGAUGACUUGUGGCUGGGGGUGAAAGGCCAAUCAAACCGGGAGAUAGCUGGUUCUCCCCGAAAGCUAUUUAGGUAGCGCCUCGUGAAUUCAUCUCCGGGGGUAGAGCACUGUUUCGGCAAGGGGGUCAUCCCGACUUACCAACCCGAUGCAAACUGCGAAUACCGGAGAAUGUUAUCACGGGAGACACACGGCGGGUGCUAACGUCCGUCGUGAAGAGGGAAACAACCCAGACCGCCAGCUAAGGUCCCAAAGUCAUGGUUAAGUGGGAAACGAUGUGGGAAGGCCCAGACAGCCAGGAUGUUGGCUUAGAAGCAGCCAUCAUUUAAAGAAAGCGUAAUAGCUCACUGGUCGAGUCGGCCUGCGCGGAAGAUGUAACGGGGCUAAACCAUGCACCGAAGCUGCGGCAGCGACGCUUA
Molecule: ribosomal RNA, 513 nt
Filed under: Escherichia coli
Lineage: Bacteria; Pseudomonadati; Pseudomonadota; Gammaproteobacteria; Enterobacterales; Enterobacteriaceae
Description: partial 23S ribosomal RNA
Rfam family: Bacterial large subunit ribosomal RNA
Source: RNAcentral